AAAUUGAAGAGUUUGAUCAUGGCUCAGAUUGAACGCUGGCGGCAGGCCUAACACAUGCAAGUCGAGCGGAAACGAGUUAUCUGAACCUUCGGGGAACGAUAACGGCGUCGAGCGGCGGACGGGUGAGUAAUGCCUAGGAAAUUGCCCUGAUGUGGGGGAUAACCAUUGGAAACGAUGGCUAAUACCGCAUGAUGCCUACG
Molecule: ribosomal RNA, 200 nt
Filed under: Vibrio parahaemolyticus
Lineage: Bacteria; Pseudomonadati; Pseudomonadota; Gammaproteobacteria; Vibrionales; Vibrionaceae
Description: partial 16S ribosomal RNA
Rfam family: Bacterial small subunit ribosomal RNA
Source: RNAcentral